Punica granatum (pomegranate) is the source of this 1171-nucleotide non-coding RNA. NCBI's taxonomy places the organism in Eukaryota, Viridiplantae, Streptophyta, Magnoliopsida, Myrtales, Lythraceae. The record is from RefSeq and is a predicted model, not a curated record.
CUUUGGGGUGGUGGCGUCCAGGUCGACAUAUUCGGAGGCCCAUCUGCAUUUUCUUCUCAAGUAGUUGAGGUAUUUAGGGUCUAUGGUGGGGUCAGCCUUCCCCGUUCCCUUGUGGUUAUAGAUCCGCGACUGUACUGAGCCGCAUGUGCAACGCCCUAUGAAAGCUGCCGGUAGAAUUGUAUGCAUAUAUACAUACCUGAGAGCACGACCAAGUCUAGCACAUUGAGACCCUGGGACUGGAAGAAUUCAAUGAGGGAGGUGAUGUUCUCGUGACCCAUUGGGACCAGCUUGGCUUCCUUAGCAAUGGAGACGCGGCCGUCUCUUCUGCCAUAAGGAACCAUCCAGAAUGGGCCUCCAGCCAUGACAGUGGCAUCCCUUGCGGCUGCUGUUAGGAUGUCAGCGCAGGACACUGUCUUUGGGCACUUCUUCUCCAGUUCUGCCUUUAUUUCGUCUAUCAGCUCAAAGCCCCUCAAUGACUUGCUCUCUUCAGCCUUCCUCUCGCUUCCCGGUUGGUUCAACAGGAUGGACGCGUCACAUCCCUCCAUGGUCUAAUAACUACGUGCGCUACUUACCCUGACGGAGCAGUCAUGGAAAUGCAACCUCAUGAGGGCGGGAGCUAAUGUGCGGUCCUUGUCAACCCAUUGCUUCACUUUCCUGUGGACAAUGGCUUCGAACUGUGGACACGUCCGGUGGUAGAAGCCAAAGAGCAGGUCGAGUUCCUCCUCUUCUAUAAAUUGUGCCCAUGCUGAAUUACAUGAUAAUUGAACAACUGUCAGGACAGCGAUCAUUAAGACCAGGGAUGUCACCGGAACCUUCAUGGUCGAUACGUAUAUCUGUAAGAUAAGCUGGGAUGAGGGAACAGGCCGGGCAGCUAGCUGGCUGAAUAGUUGCCUCGGAUGCGAUGAACGGAUGGAUGGAUUUGAAUUUGAUGAGUUUGGUUGUGUUGUGAAAUUGGGAUUGCUACUGUACUUUUAUAUACAUACCGUAUGUGAGCGCAGGUAGGUAGGUAGCUAAGGGAGGGGAUUGGAAAGGAAGUGUUUGUUGUGCUAAAAAGAAGAAUGAAAGACGUGAUAUCCACUCACGGGAAGGGACUAAGUUUAUGAACGAAAAUACAGUACAUGGCCGGCAUGUAUGUAUUAAUUAUUACGUGCAUAGUUUAUAUUUGAUUGAA